GUCCUACUCUAGCAGCCUAAUGCUUGCUCUUGUGAGAUUAAUCUCAUAAGAGCAAGCAUUAGGCUGCUAGAGUAGGAC
This is a non-coding RNA of Pelobates cultripes (western spadefoot toad), 78 nucleotides long. NCBI's taxonomy places the organism in Eukaryota, Metazoa, Chordata, Amphibia, Anura, Pelobatidae. The record is from the annotation of a GenBank genome assembly.